Molecule: ribosomal RNA, 202 nt
Filed under: uncultured bacterium
Lineage: Bacteria
Description: partial 16S ribosomal RNA
Rfam family: Bacterial small subunit ribosomal RNA
Source: RNAcentral
ACGCUCGACACCUACGGGAGGCGGCAGUGGGGAAGUAUUGCACAAUGGGGGAAACCCGUACGAUGCAGCAACGCCGCGUGAGUGAAGAAGUAUUUCGGUAUGUAAAGCUCUAUCAGCAGGGAAGAUAAUGACGGUACCUGACUAAGAAGCUCCGGCUAAAUACGUGCCUGCAGCCGCGGUAAUCUGAGCGGGCUGGCAAGGC